CCCCCCGUAGCUCAGUGGUAGAGCAGCAGACUUUUAAUCUGUUGAUGUUGGUCCGAUUCCAACCGGGGGGA
Molecule: transfer RNA, 71 nt
Filed under: Candidatus Kaiserbacteria bacterium
Lineage: Bacteria; Candidatus Kaiseribacteriota
Description: tRNA-Lys
Rfam family: tRNA
About the family: Transfer RNA (tRNA) molecules are approximately 80 nucleotides in length. Their secondary structure includes four short double-helical elements and three loops (D, anti-codon, and T loops). Further hydrogen bonds mediate the characteristic L-shaped molecular structure. tRNAs have two regions of fundamental functional importance: the anti-codon, which is responsible for specific mRNA codon recognition, and the 3' end, to which the tRNAs corresponding amino acid is attached (by aminoacyl-tRNA synthetases). tRNAs cope with the degeneracy of the genetic code in two manners: having more than one tRNA (with a specific anti-codon) for a particular amino acid; and 'wobble' base-pairing, i.e. permitting non-standard base-pairing at the 3rd anti-codon position.
Source: RNAcentral